GACCCCGUAGCUCAGAUGGUCAGAGCGCCCGGUUGUCAGCCGGGAGGUCGCCGGUUCAAGUCCGGUCGGGGCCG
This 74-nucleotide transfer RNA is filed under the name Microbacterium sp. Its description in RNAcentral is "tRNA-Asp". It matches the Rfam family "tRNA". Rfam says of the family: Transfer RNA (tRNA) molecules are approximately 80 nucleotides in length. Their secondary structure includes four short double-helical elements and three loops (D, anti-codon, and T loops). RNAcentral also lists the same sequence under 3 other names. The record is from RNAcentral. Lineage: Bacteria; Bacillati; Actinomycetota; Actinomycetes; Micrococcales; Microbacteriaceae.